This 256-nucleotide ribosomal RNA is filed under the name uncultured bacterium. Its description in RNAcentral is "partial 16S ribosomal RNA". It matches the Rfam family "Bacterial small subunit ribosomal RNA", at positions 15 to 264 of the family's 1533-position model. The record is from RNAcentral.
GAUCAUGGCUCAGAUUGAACGCUGGCGGCAGGCCUAACACAUGCAAGUCGAACGGUAACAGGAAGAAGCUUGCUUCUUUGCUGACGAGUGGCGGACGGGUGAGUAAUGUCUGGGAAACUGCCUGAUGGAGGGGGGAUAACUACUGGAAACGGUAGCUAAUACCGCAUAACGUCGCAAGACCAAAGAGGGGGACCUUCGGGCCUCUUGCCAUCGGAUGUGCCCACGAUGGGGAUUAGCUUGUUGGUGGGGUAACGGG